AUUGAACGCUGGCGGCAGGCCUAACACAUGCAAGUCGAGCGAGCGGCGGACGGGUGAGUAAUGUCUGGGAAACUGCCUGAUGGAGGGGGAUAACUACUGGAAACGGUAGCUAAUACCGCAUACCAUCAGAUGUGCCCAGAUGGGGUUAGCUAGUAGGUGGGGUAACGGCCCACCUAGGGGACGAUCCCUAGCUGGUCUAGGAGGAUGACCAGCGACACUGUAACGAAGACACGGGGCAGAUUCCUACAGGAGACAGCCGUGGGGAUUAUUGCAGAAUGAUAGCAAGCCAAGUACAGCCAUAGCGAGGGAGUGAAGAAGACCUUCAAUUUGUAAAGGACGUUAGGCAGGAAGAGAAUACCCGCAGAGGAAGCAGCGGCUAACUCCGUGCCAGCAGCCGCGGUAAUAC
RNAcentral lists this ribosomal RNA (406 nucleotides) under uncultured bacterium. Its description in RNAcentral is "partial 16S ribosomal RNA". It matches the Rfam family "Bacterial small subunit ribosomal RNA", at positions 29 to 526 of the family's 1533-position model. The record is from RNAcentral.